CCGACGAUACAGGGUGAUAGUCCCGUAGUUGACGACGUGUGUUCAGUGAAAUCGAGUAGGGCGGGACACGUGAUAUCCUGUCUGAAUAUGGGGGGACCAUCCUCCAAGGCUAAAUACUACUGACUGACCGAUAGUGAACCAGUACCGUGAGGGAAAGGCGAAAAGAACCCCUGUGAGGGGAGUGAAAUAGAACCUGAAACCGUGUACGUACAAGCAGUAGGAGCAGGCUUUGUCCUGUGACUGCGUACCUUUUGUAUAAUGGGUCAGCGACUUAUAUUCAGUGGCAAGGUUAACCAUCUAGGGGAGCCGUAGGGAAACCGAGUCUUAACUGGGCGUUCAGUCUCUGGAUAUAGACCCGAAACCAGGUGAUCUAGCCAUGGGCAGGUUGAAGGUUGAGUAACAUCAACUGGAGGACCGAACCGACUAAUGUUGAAAAAUUAGCGGAUGACUUGUGGCUAGGGGUGAAAGGCCAAUCAAACCUGGAGAUAGC
This 490-nucleotide ribosomal RNA is filed under the name Vibrio parahaemolyticus. RNAcentral's name for it is "partial 23S ribosomal RNA". It matches the Rfam family "Bacterial large subunit ribosomal RNA", at positions 351 to 849 of the family's 2925-position model. The record is from RNAcentral. Lineage: Bacteria; Pseudomonadati; Pseudomonadota; Gammaproteobacteria; Vibrionales; Vibrionaceae.